AACGAACGCUGGCGGCAUGCCUAACACAUGCAAGUCGAACGAGACCUUCGGGUCUAGUGGCGCACGGGUCCGUAACCCGUUGUAACCUGCCCUUAGGUUCGGAAUAACUCCCCGAAUGGGGUGCUAAUACCGGAUAAUGUCUUCCGACCAAAGUUUUAUCGCCUUUGGAUGGUCCCGCGUUCGAUUAGUUUGUAGUUAGCGUAAAAGCCUAGCAAGGCGUCGUUCCAUAGCUGGUAUGAGAGGAUGAUAAGGCACACUGGGACUGUGACACGGCCCAAAGUACUACGGGAGGGAGCAGUGGGGAACAAUGGACACUGGGCGAAAGCAUGAUGCAGUAGUGGCGCGUGAGUGAUGAAGGCCUGAGGAUUGUAAAGAUCUUUUACCCGGGAUGAUAAUGACAGUACCGGGAGAAUAAGCCCCGGCUAACUCCGUG
RNAcentral lists this ribosomal RNA (433 nucleotides) under uncultured bacterium. RNAcentral describes it as "partial 16S ribosomal RNA". It matches the Rfam family "Bacterial small subunit ribosomal RNA", at positions 29 to 507 of the family's 1533-position model. The record is from RNAcentral.